AGGCCUUCGUCUUAAAAAUUGCAAGUCGAGCGGAAAGGCCCUUCGGGGUACUCGAGCGGCGAACGGGUGAGUAACACGUGAGCAACCUGCCCUAGGCUUUGGGAUAACCCCGGGAAACCGGGGCUAAUACCGAAUAUGACCUUUGACCGCAUGGUCUUUGGUGGAAAGUUUUUCGGCCUGGGAUGGGCUCGCGGCCUAUCAGCUUGUUGGUGGGGUGAUGGCCUACCAAGGCGACGACGGGUAGCCGGCCUGAGAGGGCGACCGGCCACACUGGGACUGAGACACGGCCCAGACUCCUACGGGAGGCAGCAGUGGGGAAUAUUGCACAAUGGGCGGAAGCCUGAUGCAGCGACGCCGCGUGAGGGAUGACGGCCUUCGGGUUGUAAACCUCUUUCAGCAGGGACGAAGCGUAAGUGACGGUACCUGCAGAAGAAGCGCCGGCCAACUACGUGCCAGCAGCCGCGGUAAGACGUAGGGCGCGAGCGUUGUCCGGAUUUAUUGGGCGUAAAGAGCUCGUAGGCGGCUUGUCGCGUCGACUGUGAAAACCCGCAGCUCAACUGCGGGCCUGCAGUCGAUACGGGCAGGCUAGAGUUCGGUAGGGGAGACUGGAAUUCCUGGUGUAGCGGUGAAAUGCGCAGAUAUCAGGAGGAGCACCGGUGGCGAAGGCGGGUCUCUGGGCC
This 680-nucleotide ribosomal RNA is filed under the name Micromonospora sp. PC4043. RNAcentral describes it as "bacterial SSU rRNA". It matches the Rfam family "Bacterial small subunit ribosomal RNA", at positions 40 to 735 of the family's 1533-position model. Lineage: Bacteria; Bacillati; Actinomycetota; Actinomycetes; Micromonosporales; Micromonosporaceae. The record is from RNAcentral.